CCAGUCUUGCUAGUUGCGACACGCACCAGCUCAGAGCUCAUUAAUGCUGGUGGGCCAUCUACCGCGCAGAAGGAAUGCGCGGGCCCAUGUUGCCAGUCUCAAGGUCCGGAAUCAGGCAACCGUCUCUCGCAUAGCUCAGCCUUAUCCUCCCAGUCCCAGCGCUCGUUCCCUCUAUUGCGUUCAUCUCACCCGCCUGCAUCUCUCGUCCCCUCUGGCUUGUUGAGCUCGAGCGUGCGUCGUCCUUGCGAGGGAGGCCUCCGGCGAAUGCACAAGCUUCUUGACCAAAAGCGUAGCAGCGCGCGAGCCUGCCCAUGGCAGCGUACGAGGGAGCCUGUUGCCAGGAUGCUCGAGGACGCUGGCGCAGGUUCCAUGGACAGAUUUGUUCUCCGAUUUUUCUCCAGGCAGCGGCCGCAGCGGGAAAGAUCCGGGCGGCUGCGGAUGGGGGAGCUCCAGGCGGGCGGGCGGGCGGCUCGGCCUGGUGCAGAGCGGGGGAGCCGUGCAGACGGCGGCGGAGCCAGUCCACUGUCGGGCCCUGAGGGAGCUCUGGCCAGUCCACUGCUGGGCAGCGCCGGCCCCGGAGCCGGACGGCCGGACGGAGUGCGGCGGCUCUCGAUCCCCCGAGGGAGGGGGUCUUUUCCCUUUAAUCCCUCACUUUCCUCUUUUUUCCAACCGAGCCCCCCUAUAUUCAGAAGAAUUGGACUGCGGGUUGAUUCCACGAAAUUCUGAGGGGUUUUUUGCAAAACAAGCGCGACGGACGAAAAUUGUUGGCAGAGACGUUACUCGCUUUAAUAAUAGGUAUAGAUAUAGAUAUAGAUAUAGAUUUAAAAUUUGACUUAAUUAUUUCUUAUUGCUUGAUAUUCGUGUAAUUUCUUUUAAAAAAGUACCGGAGCUGUUCUCGUAUUUUUACACCCUCCAUCAAUGUUUAUAAGCUAUGCUAGAACUUAGCACGGUCUUCCAAAUAAUACUUUUACCAUUCAUUUAUCUUA
Long non-coding RNA from Setaria italica (foxtail millet), 986 nucleotides. RefSeq lists it as uncharacterized. Lineage: Eukaryota; Viridiplantae; Streptophyta; Magnoliopsida; Poales; Poaceae. The record is from RefSeq and is a predicted model, not a curated record. The transcript has 2 exons.